AACAUCACAACACCAACGACGAACGAUUCAGUACAAAACUGACUCGUGACCCGCAAUCCACGACCCAAAAUCGUCAACCAACUCUGAUAUCAGCGAAAACCUGACCCGACCUUGUACACGCACGUCUCACGCGAUAGUAUGACGAGGAAAGGUUCGAGAAUCUUCUAGAAAAAUGCCUAGGUGUCUCAUCCAAUGUUCGAAUCUCGAGAUUUUUGGGUUAAUUGGUACUAAUUCGUACACACUCGCUCAAUUUCUAUUGGUUGAUAAAGGGAAUUUCAUCCCUCAAUUCUAUUGGUUGGCCAAUUUUGAAUUUCAUCAAGAAAAUUCCAAAAUUCGUACAAGUUGUUGGUGGAAAACCCUAUAUUCAGCUCCAAUUCGAAUUUCCCCUACCAAAAAUUCCGAGUUUACCCCCGUUGUCCUCUUUCCCACAUCGUUCAAAGCCUAAGAAGGAACCUUCAAUUCUCUCCUAUAAAAGGAGCUCGUUGUCGAGCCGUGAAGGGGGUUGGAAAUUUCUUUUGGGGGGAAACAAAAACAAGAGAAAAAGUCUCAAAUAAGGGAAGGGGGGAAAACCUGAGAGGUUCGAAAAAGCUUUUGGAAAAAAUAGUUUUUGUAGUAUAAGUUCUUUUGUUUAAGAAAGGUCAACGAUUGUUCGGAUUUUUUGGAGUCACGGCAAGGUCCUCCGGUGGUAAUCGAGAUUUCGUCAAAAGUUCGAGUCCUGUUUUGCUGGCCCGAGAGAGGUAAAUAUACCUUUUCCCAUUUGAUUUUAUCAGCAUAUUUCUUCUUCGUCCCUUUUCUCUAUAGCAAUGGUUGGUUGUUUGGUUAUAAUUGUGGUGAUGCUGUGAUUAUUCGCUGUAGAGGCUCCAAAUGCCAUAAGUUUGAAUGAUGAAAGUAAGGUCUAUUGUAUGGUUAUGAUAAUUUUUCUUAAGUGUCUAAUUCUUUGUUCAUGGUUUCAUCUCUGUUUGUUUGGCUUUUUUCAUUAAAAUCUGCGACCUCGUGCUGGUUUGACGUUGUCUGAUUUUUGUUCACAAGCCUAAAGAUGGAGUUUUUGUAAGGGCAUAAUCAAGAAAAUAGCAUCCUGUUCUUUGUUCUCAUGUUCAAUAAUGCAGGAAGUUUUUCCUUAUAUAUGAAUGAUAUUAAUAUCUGUUCUUAGCUAUGCUUUGUUUUGCUUUGGUCUGUGUGUGAAUUUCUUUUGUCAAGUAGGAAUUUGUCCUUGUUUUCUAUUCGUUAUCGUGAAUAAGAAACCCCCCACCCCACCCCGUCUGUGAAUAGCUAAAAUAAAACGGGAUGAAGAUGUAUUCAUGUGAUAUUUGUUUGGGUUCCCUUUCUGAUUUUGCUAUCGAUAAUUUGAUUUUGAUUGGAGACCAUGUUCUUGGAUAGCUUAUGUUAAGUCCAGGAUCGACAGUUUGUUUUCUUUAUCAUCUCCUUCUGGUUUUCUCCUUUCGUCCAAUUGUUGUCCUUUGCUUUCAGUAAUAAUCUUUGAUCAUUUGCUUAAAAAUAUUAAAACCUGCUUUUGAUAUAGUAUAACUCACUGAAAUUUGCCCACUCUCUUAGAAACUGUAUGCGAGAACUAUGUUGGUUGGUCUCUCUUUUGGGGUUUGGGUUUAUUUUUGUCAUUAAGUACUAAUUUAAGGAUAUGGAGAUGACUACAUUAUUUCUCCUUGCCUAUAUUGUCGUUGUUCUGCGCAAUUAUGGUAUACUGAUGUCGGCUGGCUUGAUCACCUUUAGUUUGUGUGGGGUUUAACUCGUCAAAGAGCAUAAUGUUUGUUUCUUUGUUUUCUUUUUCUACUUGUGAAUUGAUCUAAAAGGAAUUUAUUCUCCUCUCUAUCCCGAAUACUAGCAUGUGCCUCGUUUAUAGAUCUGUUUCGUCUCUUUGAUUUUGCAUACAUUCAGUCCAUAAAAUGUUGUUGGAUUCAUAACAUCCAAAGAACUAGUGAACUAGACAAUGCCUAGGAAUGGUUUAAUUUAGGAUUCCUUAAUGAUCUCUUGACUUUUGGUUCAAUAUAAUCUCUCGAGGAGAGGAGGAAGCUAGUGCAAAGCUAUUGUCGUUUGUCUUAAGUGUUAUAAAUCUGAAAGUUUUUACCUUUACUGUAUGUCGAUGCUUUAUUAAAAGUAUUACUAGAUUGUUGUGCUUAUGUCUUUUCUUGGUAAUGCUAUAGUUUUGAAUUCACAGAUUUUUUAGUAUGCACUUGGCCUUAGUUCCUUUUAGAGCAGACUGUGUCCUUAUGAUAUGGUUUGGAUUAAUUUCUUUUACCUUAAUCAACAAUGCUUGGGUGUCCAAAUAAAGGGUGACUUUGUUUGGAUCUUUUAUUUAGCUCGAUAGAAUAUAUUUGGAACACUAACAACUUGUUUGGAUGGUGGUUUGACAUGGUUUCAUAAUGUAUGGUAUGGUGUAGUAUGGUGUGGUAUAGUAUGGUAUGGUACAGUACCAGGUUUGGAUGGAAUGUAUCGUUCACUGCGGUUUAAUAAUAGAUUUUUUGUUUGGUUUGAUGGUAUGGUACGGUAUGGUAACAGGUAAAUUUACUAAAAUGCCUCUAAUUGUAAUACAUUUGAGAUAUCAACUCUUUUAUCCAUAUCAGUGCUAGUGCUAGCGUACCAGUUGUCCUUUCUUUCUUAAUGCUUCUCAUAGCUACCCUAUGAUCCUUUUAAGACGCCAAAUUCACAAGGGUAUUUGCUAAACAAAGGUUUGACAAACGCAAACUAAUGCAAUCGGGAAGUACUUCCCAAUCAAUAAAACAAUUGGUAUACAUGCAUGUAUCUUAGAGUUCGAAAAUCACUUCCCAUGUAUAUGCUUUUUGUGCAUUCACUCUGUUUUCCUCCAUUUCAAUUUUCAAUUUUUUUUUGAUCGAAUUGAGUUUUUAUUGGCAUUAAAAACUACUACUACUAAAUAACUAUGAUCAUGAAGUCUUGCAAUCUUCGAUCUUGUUAACAAAUGCGUAGUCUUAUCAUGUAUUUUGUUGAUAAGGAUAAAAUAGGAUUAAAGAAAAUUAUACAAGGGUAUAGUUGGAAAAGAAAAAUGAAAAUCAUGGCACACCACCAAUUUGGUGGUUCAAUAACAGCCUAUUUGGAUGGUGAUUUGCCAUGGUAUGGUAUGGUUACCAUGGGAACCUUGUUUGUUUCCAUGGUCUUCUAAAAAUGGUGGUAUGGUAUGUUACUAUUUCAUGGUUUGAUAACCAUGGCAAGAGGCAAUUUCUUGAACCACCAAUUUAGUGGUGUGGCAUGGUUCUCCUUUUUUUUUUUUUCCAACUUUGCCCUUAUAUAAUUUUAUUAAACUUAUAACCCAUUAUACCCUUUUACUCUUCUUAACCUUAUAUACUCUCUUCUUUAACUUAACUCUCUUCUUGACUACAACAUUCAACUUCGGCACCACCCUAGCAUUUAACAUAGUAGUAUCCUAGAAGAAAUAAGAGACACUGCUACCCCAUUGACGCCUUUUAGGGUUUUUCCAUUUCCGGGUAGAAUAGAUAUAGGUAUAGGUAUUUUGCGAGGCCGACAACGACGAGGACGGUGGGAAGUGGAAGAAGGAGGUGGGUCGAUGAGUUCAACGUAGCUGACAGAGAAAACGGCGUCAUCAAUACCCUCAUUGAAAACAAGUAGGGGUAUUUUAGUAAAAUUACCCAUUAACAUACAAUACCAUACCAUCAAUCCAAGCAAAAAAACUAUUAUUAAACCAUAGUGAACGAUACAAUCCAUCCAAAUAUGGUACAAACCAUAUCAACCUUUUUUCUUCGUAUAAAUAACAUAAAUAUUAACCUUUAAAAAGUAAUUACUCUCUCCCACUUUUUUAAUUACUUUACUCUCUCUCCCUAUUAAUAUACAUAACAUAGUCAACAUAUACAUAACAUUUUGUGUAUAUGUGAGAUUUUUGUAAGAUGUUUAGGGAGUUGAGAUUUUUUGUAAUAUUGAAAACGUAAGUUGUGUAUUUGUGUAAUUUUUAGUUUUUCUUUUGCAUGAAUCCCUCAUGGUUGAGUCCAACAGGCUCAAUUUCUCCUUGCAUUUUCCUCAUAGGCCAUUGAGGCCCACUACCUCUAUUGAGUCAACUCCUAGAGAAAGUUCAAAAGUCGAUCAUGUGGUGUACAAUUAUGAGAAGUCAAAAGAAGAAAAAUGGGUUAAUGUCUCAUAUUUAAAAAGGCAAAGAGACUCGAGUCUCAUUUUUCUUUAUUUAUUUAUUGUUGUCUUAUUUAUUUCUUUAUUUAUUCAUUUGGGCCUCGAAGCCAAAGUUGUAAGCUAAUACAGGUGAAGCGAAACUUGAGCCAAAGGCUUGAAAAAAUAGUUUAAGACACGUUAUGGGCCGAAAGCCAAAUGCUUAGAUUAGGAUCGGUACAAGUGAGUCAAAAGCUCAAUUAGAAUAGGACAGGGUUUGUUGAUUUGGGCUCAAUGGUCUAAGUCUUUUACUUUCUCCCCUUCCCUUUUUUAUGUGCUAUUUGCUAUUUUAUUCACUUAGACUUAGUUGAAAUUUCCGCUAAGUCGCUAAAAAUGAUUUUGCAAAAGCUUUUAAAAAAAUUCCUUAAUCAACUUUUUUUCAACAAUCGACCCUUUUUUAGAAUUAGUCAAAAGGAAAACUAUUUUUUCAAAUAGUCUGGAUAAUCGCAAGUUAACAGACAUUUUAGGUGCUUUAAAAAAUCUCCCUAAAAUAUUAAUAGGAACUGCUUAUCUAGAAUUUCAACUUAAAUGAUUUUCUUGUUUUGAAUCAUCUAAGUAUUUUAUAAAGAUUUUUUUAAUUUCUUUUCAAAUAAAUUAAGUGGCGACUUUAAAAGUUAAAAUUUUUGCAAAACAAUUAUUAUAGAUGUUUUUUGCAAUAUGCAUCACAUCAAUGUUAGAAUUCUAGUAUGGUAAAUCUCAAAAUAUGCUUCGCUUUUUCCACCCAAAUGUCUUACAUAUUGUUUUAUUAACUUGUUCUGCAUCUAAUUUUGUUACAUUUCAUAUCCCCAAAUUAUAAAUUUGAUUCAAAAUUUUCUCUCCUGUUCCAUAUGUUGAUGGGGUCUUUUGACAGUUUGACCUUUAAGAAAGUUCUUUCGAUCUCUCCUAAAUGAGUGAUAUUGGUCAAGGAGCAUUUUGUGGCAAUCAAACCAUGAUUGUUUUCUUCCAUGCUGUAAUCUAAGGGAUUGUGUUUCCUUUAUACAAUAAGGGCAUGCUAAUUUACCCGCAAUACUCCAUUCUGAUAACAUAGAAUAUGCUGGAAAGUCACUAAUUGUCCAUGCCAAAGUUGCCAUUAAUUGAAAGUUUUGCCUUUUUGAGAUGUCAAAUACUUCUACACCUGUCUCUCACAAUAAGGUCAGUUCCUUUAUUAGAGGAUGCAAAUAAACAUCAAUUUUAUGUUUGGGAUUGCUCGGACCGGGAACAAUGAUUGUUAAGAAUAUAUAAGCCUUUUUCAUGCACAUUCUUAGAGGGAAAUUGUAUGGAGUGACAUUCACUGCCCACGAAGAAUAUUUCCUUCCAGACUGACUGAAUGGUUGAAAACCAUUCGUACAUAACUCCAACCUAACAUUUAUUGGUUCAGCGGCAAAAAAGUGAUUAGUUUCAUUGAAGUACUUCCAAGCCUCAGAAUCUGAUGGAUGACGCAUCACACCAUCCUCUUUUUUAUGAUCAUGAUGCUAUCUCAUGUCGGUAGCUGUAGCAUGGGAUGCAUAUAAUCUUUGCGAUCUCGGAAUCAAAGAAAAAUAAUACAUUUUCUUGUAAGGAACCAAUUUCCUCUUAGGAGAGCUAACACAACGCUUAUACAUUGGCUUGCUACAAAAUUUACAAGAUGUAAGGUGUUCAUCAUCAUCACCCCAAUACAACAUACAUCCUGAUUCAUAGCAAUUAAUAUUUUCAACUGGCAAACUCAAAACUACACACUAGCUUCUUCGCCUGAUUAUAGCUAUCAAGCACUAUGUUAUCUUUAGGUAGAGCCUCUUUAAGCAAUUGCAUCAUUUGGUUAUAGGCUCUCUGCGAAAUAUUAUUCUCCAUUUUAAUAUUUUACAUUCGAGAGACAACUGCAAGUUGAGAGAGGGAUGAAAUGGGAUAUAAUUUUGCAUUAGCAAAUCAUAAAAUUUUUUAGAUAGGAUUAGGAUCUUCCGACAUUGAAUGUUCAAAAGGAUGAGAUGACUUAGGUUCAAUAUUGUUAUAAGAUUGCCAACUUGAACCCUGACAAAAUUUGGGACCAUCUGCAUGCAAAACAUUUGUCGGUAUGGAUUUUCUCCGAAUAUAGGUUGACCAUCACCAUGCAAGUCAUUACCAUAAGAAGUCCCACUUAUAAAGGUGACAUUUAACAGUUUCAACAUCCACGAAUUUAUAGUUCUGACAUUUUGUACAUGGACAUCUAACUUUGUCACCACUUAUGCGAUUUUGUUGAGAAUAUGCGAAUUGAAUAAAUUCAUUCACAGCAGUUACAAAACUAGAGUAUAAAGCCCCUCGACCAUCUAACCUCUCAUACAUUCAAUCACGCUCUAGAUUAUUUAUGUUCCUAUUAAUGUUGAAAUAAAAAAUAGGAUAAUCAGUGUAGAACUGUGCUCUUCAAUCAAAAGUUCACAACAAAGCAAAAGUCAUCAAUCAAUAUUAAUGUAAGAAGGAAUUAAGUUACAAUUCUGAUGCGAGACAAUAAAUCAAUAUCAAGGUAAUCAACUACUAAAAUAAAGUACAAUUAAACACAUUCUCUAGCCAAUCAAAUUAUCAAAAAACUGCGAAAAAAGCAAAUGGAUAAAAUAAAUUAUCAAAAAAAAUAGUCGGAGAAUAACAAUUGAAAUAACAAUAGAAAUUUCUAGGAACUGAACUUUGUUCAUACAAAAUGCAACAAGAAAUUACAAUAUCCAGAGCUUUACAGAAAACAAAACACAGCAACAUCAGAAGUACUCACUGAAUCAUAUAAAAUUUCAAAAGUUGUAAUAUUGGAUUUCCACAAAAUCCAACUUAAAUAAGAACCAAUAAUACUACUUUAACAUAGCUAAAUCCCCUACUAGAACCACCAUACUAAUUAUCGAGAAUAUUUUACCUGAUAGGUCAAAUUAUUGAACUUCAAAAUUCCAGUCAGCUCUAGGACACACCUUUCCCAUACUUUUUCACUUAUCCUUCACUUUUUCAACACUUCAAUUUCUGCGAUAUUAACCGAAAAAAAUCAUAACUUUGAUGAAAAAAUAUACAGAUUUAGUACCAAAUGCUUGCAUGUGUUACCGAAAAAUCUGCAUUUAGCUAACAUUAGAAUAAUUGAUAGCUUUCACAUUCACCAGUUCAAUUAACAGAUCAAAGAGCGAGUGUAGGAAACAUUGGGCCGACAUUUAAAAAACUAAGACAAAAAGGUGAUGUCUUUAAGGAUUUUUCAAGUACAAAUACAACAACAAAACCAAACUGGAACCAAACUAGACUUCUUUGAACAUAAUUUAGAGUAAAAAUUAUAGAAAGAAAGAAAAUACAAAUUAAAUCUCUACCUGAUUACAUCUGGGCAUAGAAAUUUUAGAGAGAGGAAAUUAGAGAGUGAGAGGCGGCAUAGAGAGAGAAAAUGAGUGAAGAAAUGAGCCCCAAUCUAUUUUUGAGAAAUAUUUAUAAUUUAUAAAUAGUUGCGACGAAAAAUUUCGUCUCUAAUAAUAAAUAAAAUUUGUAAAAAAAUAUUAUAAAUGAUAUUGAUGCUUAAAUCUGUUGCUAAUCCGUUGCUACAAAUUAAUUAAAAUGAUUACACAUAAUUGGUUGCUAAAUUCGUCACGAAAUUAAGGCGUUAAAUUUUUGCGCCGAAAAAAAAUUAUCUCGUAUCCGUUGCUAGAUCAUAAAUUAAAAAGAGACUUGCUAUGCUUGCGAUAAAAUUGAUGUUUUCAUCGUUAAUCCGUCGCUAAACUGCGAAGAAAAUUGACCUGUCUUUAAAUUUUAUCACUAAAUAUUAUUUUUUUAGUGUAAACUAGGGCUUUGAAAUUUGAAUUUUGGGAAAAAAAAAAUCUCUAUCUUAACUUUCUUGAGGUUUGAGAGGAGGGGAACGAGGGAUUUGAGAGGUACUCUGCAUAUUUGGGAUAUUUCUAGGAUAUCAAACAAAUUUGGGGAGGUUAAAGGACAAGAAUAUCCCUCUUGAAAUGUAAAAAGAAGAGAAAACUUUUAAAAAAUCGGAGAAAUCGUGCGCGGCCGCACAAUUGGAGCUCAGGUCGCACGACUGUUCGCAUAGCAUUGGCGGAGCCAGUGCCUUACCCGCGUGAUUGUGUGGCUGACGUCCUCUUCGCACGACGGAUUGCAUAGGCUGCAUAGUGCCUGGUAAAGGGGACAUAACUUUUAACAAAUAACUUGAAAUGACAAACAAUUAGUGGCGUUGGAAAGAAAUUCGAAGCCCUUUAAUUUGGUAGAUCUUGAGAUAAAAAAAUUUUCAUACUCUAUGAGUUAUGCUUGUUUGAAACUGGCUUUAGUAAAAUCUUAUACGAAAAUUCAAUCGUAAAGAAGCUUUUAAUUUAACUUUGUGCUAAAGGUUCCUUAUAGCCUUAAUUCAUAGACAAAGCUCUUCCCACACUAAGCAAUUGGUAUUUACGCCUAUUUACAAUUAAAAAUCAUCAAAUUCGUAUCUAUACGCAUUUGAAUGACGAUUCGUACUCGCUUUAGAAGUUCGAUGUUACAUGCUUUUAGAAUAAUAUUUUUUCUGUACCGAACAUAUUGAAAAACAUUUUCUUGAAAACAUUUUCUUUAAGAAGUUAGGAUUACUAAAAUCAAAUAAACUAAAUACAAUAUACAUUUGUCUGGCUUUUUCUGUUUUCUCAUUUGUAAUUUAUAUCACAAACUUAAAUUUAAUGCAUAAAUUAUUUUAGUGAAGUGAUUAUACUAGCUACACCUUAAUUGGCCAAACCUAAAUUACCAGUGCUAUUCACAACUCACAAGUUACAUGAGUUAUUUGUCAUUUCCUUCAAGAAAUUGUCUAAUAAUUUCAACUAGAUUUCAAAGCUGCUAUCUAGUGUAGGGUUGCUAAUUAAUUCAAGAAAUUGAGGUGUUACUGAUUUUGAAUUUACAAUUGGAUUUCUUUAAUUUGUGAGAAAAUAUCAUUUAUUUUUACAGUAUUAGAUUUUUGUAAUUAAGUAUUAACUAUUAUUAAUCACCAAGUGAAAUAUUUAUAAAGCAAAAUUGACUCACACAAUCUACUCAAUUUAAAUAGCUAUCUCUGCUAUACCAAGUAUACUUCUUUUCCUUUUUUGGAUUUUUUAUCGUUCAAUGUUCGACAAUCAUAUUGAGCCUGUCUAAAUUCGGAUUCGUGCCUAGAAGUCUCACAUUAGGGGUAAGACACUCCCUACCAAAGGUGACUCCAUACCAGGAGAAUUUAAACCCAAGACUUCAGAUUAAGAAUGAAGGAAUACUUACCACUCCACCACCUCAACUAAACUCUACUUCUUACUUUACUAGUAUUUAUUUAUCUAUCGGACUUCACAACUAGAAGCUAUAAAGUUGCAUAUACUAACCAGGUCAUGUUGUUAGGUUGUGAAACAUAUACCCAAUAUGAUAGUCUACUCCAUACUUGCCUCGUAUGCUAAAUACUCCAUAAAUAAGUGAUCCUUAUUAUUUGGUGUUUCUAUUGCAUGAACUGCAUAGUUAAUCCACGAGUAGAUUUCAUUCAUCGUCACUUAGCUUUGCGUUUAUUACACAAAGUCAAUUUUCUUUCAUUCAUUACACAAAAGUUAUUUCACUUUGCUCCGACCAUCACAAAAGUCACUAUGGCCAGAUUUUACAGUAAUUCCACCGGAAAAAUGAUGUGGCGACCUUAAUUAGUUCUUAAUUUAAAUUUAACAGAAUGUAAUUUAUUAUCCAUAUCUUGACCCUUUUUAUAUGUGCCUAACUCAAUUUUCCUUAUGAAUUAUAUAACAGAAGAAUAUCAAUUUCUCAAUAGAUUAGACUACCUAGUGAAGACUAUUUUUAAAAAAAAUAAAAAAAUCGGUUGAUAUUUUUAUGAAACUAAAAUUAUUAUUUUAAUUAAUAUAUAUAAGAGAGGAUAUCAAUUUUGGUAGUCCUCACAAUAGUAUUUUAGAUAUUUUACUUUUUUUUCGUUAAGUAAGAUUAUUACACAUAGCAAUUAAUGAUAUAUGUUUCUAAUAUAUUUUCAUUUUUGUCCUUAUUAUUUUGGUUAAGACAAUUCCCACUUGGACUUUUAUUAUUGGUCCCUUCUUGUCACUUAUUAAAUUAUUUUUUAGUUAAAACUCCAUUUAUCUUUAAUUGACAAUCAAUUUAGCUCAAAAAAAUCAUUCCAAAUAAUUUUAAUACAAAAUUAAAGUUUGCAUUAAUAACUAUACUCUUAUAGUUCUUAUAAAUAUUGUAUGAUUCUCAAAAAAUAUAUAAUAGAGUAACUUAAUAAAUAAUACCUUGUAUAUACUUUUCUUAGUAAACAUGAAAAAAGAUAAAACAAUGAUUGAAAUAGGAUGAGUAAGAUAUUCUUUUAGGGGGAGUGCAGAACAUAAAUACGAUAAGUAAAUUCACUGAAUGGAGUAAUCUAGUAAUGUAGUUUAAUUAUUAUUUAGUAUCCUUAUAAAUUACUAUGAAUUCAAUUUGUAUAAAACCUCUAAAUUAAAGUUAUAAUAUGUAAUAUAAACUUGAAUUGACUGGAGAAAAUUGAAGGAAAGGUGUCUUUUACGUCUUGAAUGAAGGAUUGGUGACAUUGAUCAACUUAAAGGGUCAAACAUCAUUAGGAAACUUGAUUAAGUUAAUUAUGGACUUGAUUAAUAUUUUUAAAACUUUCUAAUCUUUUUAAAAAUACAAAUCAACCCACACCCCUCUUCAAUCUAAAUCACCCAGUCUCUCUCCCCCCCCCCUCUCUCUCGACAACUUCUCUCAACUCUCUCCCAACCAACAGUUCUGCAAAAUUCUCCCUUCAAUCCCCGGCGACUUCAACUACUGGCGAAAAAUAGUUGGGUGAGUUCCCUUUCAACUUUCAACCGUCAAUCGAUGUGAAGACUUCUCCGACGACAACAACUUCGAGUUCUUCGUUGUCCCGUUUUCUUUUUUAUAGGUAAAAAAUUAUGAAGAAACAAAGGAACUUGAGCCAACUACUCUUCUAGUAUAGAAUUGUGGACUAACUAAAAUCCUAAUUUCUAGCAUUUUUUCUUCUUGUUGUCGUACUGUUGAUUCAAAUUUUUGGUGAUUUUUAUUCACAGUUGAUGUUCUUAGUAUGUGUGUGUGAUGUGUUGGUAUUGCUGGGUUGAUUUGUUAUUUGUCUUCGUAAAAAUGGUGGUGCAACAGAUGAAACAUAUGAUGCAACAGAUGAAAAUAUUUGAUGUAACAGAUAAAAACAUCUGAUGCAACAGAUUAAAAUCUGAUGCAAAUAUGAAAAUCCGAUACAACAGAUGAAUAAUAUAACAGAUCAUUCAUCUGUUGCGAUAGACGACUCUUCCGUUUGGAAGAAAUCUAAGCAAUAUUGAUCCAACAGAUAACUCAUUUUUCAACAUAUGCGUGAUAUGUUUCAAUAGUUUAGUGAUUUGUUUUUAUUAUCUCCAACGGUUUACUCAUCUGUUGUAACAAGUCAGUUAUAUGUUGUAACAGAUAACAUACCUGGUGCAACAGAUCAAUAAUUUAUUUUUAUUGUUUCCAACGAAUUACUCAUCCGUUGCAACAAGUCAGUUCUACGUUGCAACAGAUAACAUACUUGGUGCAACAGAUUAGUGAUCUAUUUUUAUGGUUUUCAAUGGAUUACUCAUCCGUUGCAAUAGGUUAGUUAUAUGUUGCAAUAGAUAAAUUACCUGGUGCAAUAGAUUAGUGAUCUGUUUUAUGGUUUUCAACGGUUUACUCAUCUGUUGCAAUAGUUGGUUAUAUAUUGCAUCAGAUAACAUACAUGGGUGUAACAGAUUAGUGAUCUGUUUUUUAUGUUUUCCAAUGGUUUACUCAUCCGUUGCAAUGGGUCGGUUAUAUGUUGCAUCAGAUAAAAUAUCUAGUGCAAUAGAUUAGUGAUCUAUUUUUAUUGUUUCCAACGAUUUACUCAUUCGUUGCAUCCGAGUCGGUUAUAUGUUUCAUCAGAUAAAAUACCUGGUAUAACAGAUUAGUGAUUUGUUUUUAUAGUUUCCAAAGGUUUACUCAUCUAUUGCAGUGGGUCGGUUAUAUGUUGCAUCAGAUAAAAUAUCUGGUGCAAUAGAUUAGUGAUCUAUUUUUAUUGUUUUCAAUAGUUUACUCAUCCGUUGCAACAGGCCGGUUCUAUGUUGCAACAAAUAACAUAACUGGUGCAACAGAUGUCUGGUCUUUUGGAACUGUUAUUUUACCAUUAUGUAUGUUAGAUUUAUUGUUUUCCCUUUUUAACGAUACAUUAAUCAAUUAUAAUAUAUUUAUGUUCCUAUUAAUUUAAGAUAAUAUGGCUCCCAAAAGAAAAGAAACCGCAUCAAGUCCAAGUAAAGGAACAAGUGCACCAGCUCAGCUAUAUCCACCACUCUAUGAGCUUGCUUUACAAGCGUUAUCUCAAUCAGGAGCAGAAGAUAAUGAACACGGGGAGGAGAAAUGUCUCAAAAGAGAUGAUCCAAAUGCUAAUAGCCCUUUCGCUGAAGAGUUGGUCAAACCUUCAACAUUGAUUUUUAUCUUGUGAAAAUGCAGUCGAUGGUGCCACAGAUUUAACGGGUGAUUUCGUGGUUAAGUCAGUCAUGGGAAAAUCUUUCGACGCCUUCAGAAAAAUACUUUGAGAACAAAAAUUGGAUGCUAAUUUUAGGAAAAACUGCUUUGGGAAAUAUCUUGAUUUGCUGGAGGACAACAAUGCUCAUUUUCAGAUGAAAAUGGUAUACGAUCUUCUCAAGCAUAGGUUUAUGUAUGAAAACAAAGACAAGAUGGAUGAGGUGUGGAUUCUUCUUUAUAAAGUAGAUUGGAAGGCUAGGUUAGCAAACGUAAACUUACAUUGUCCUCGUACCAAUCACACAUAUUUGCCAUAUUCGUGAAGUCUUUGGAGGCAAAUAAAUGGAUGGUGUAUUCUUUUCGAACCUUUGUCUUGGCAUUUAUGAUUUCUUCCAGUUCUUUCUUCUUCUGCUUGCCAAGCUUCGCGAAUAUGUCCACCUUCUUCAGUGGCUCCUGAACUUCAACAACUCUUGGAGCGGAAGGAGUUGCAAUUUUUACUGAUUUCAGAACGAAUAGAAUUUGUCUAAUUUUUCUUCUCUUCCUCCUAACCACCACUGUAGGAGUGCAUGGCUUCCUCACCUCAUUGAAUGGUAUGAUAUCCCUCCUGGAUUUUAACUCCUCGGCAGCUUCAGCAAUAGCCUCUAUAUUUUCAAGGAGUUUAUCAUCUCUAUCCUUUCAUACUUUGCAUUUGCAAUGAGAACAUGAGGGUAAAGAGGGGUGGGAGGGACCGGUGUAGGGAUGAGAGGGACUUGUGCAAGAGGUGUUUCAAAAGUAUUUAUUUUUUAUUGAGCACCAACAUUCUCAUAAUCAUGACUGGCAGUAGCAGAAACAUCAGAAUGACUGUCACCAUCAUAAACAACUCCACCAGCAACACCCCCAGAAGAAGCACCCAAAUCUAUUGCAGUUUGAGGUUGGUUGUGAAGAGCUUCUACAUUAGGAUGACCUUGCCUAACUGCCCUUCUUAUGGAUAUUGCUCCAAUCAAUUCCUUCUUUAUUAAAUCUACUGUUGGGUCUUCUUUUAUAUUAAAAAGACCUAGAGUAAGAAAAAAAGUCAUCCCCAACUCAUCAACGGUAGGCACGAUCCAAGGAUGCACAACCUAAAAAAAAGGAUAGAAGGCAUUUAAAUCAUAUAAUAAUAAUAAUUUAUAGUCAGUUAGGUUACAUAGAUUUUAACACAACCAACUCAUGCAACACACGAUCUAGCUGUCGCAACAGCUGAUCUGUAUGUCGCAACAGAUUGACAAUAUGUUGCAUCAGAUUACAUAUAUGUUGCAUAAUUUGCAUUAGAUGGGUAAUCUGUUGAGUCGGGUUCAGAGAACUAGAGAAACAGAUGGUUAAUCUAUUGUGAAAUAUGGAUCAUCUGUCGCAACAGAUUACCCAUCUGUUGCACUAGUUAAGUUGACGGGUAAUCUGUUACAACAGAUGACCCAUCUGUCGCAACAGAUGGAACAUCUAUUUUAAUAUCUUUCUUUGAGAAAAAUUAUUUUAGUCGAAGAAAGAUGUACUGCAUUAUCCAGAGGGUUAAAUAGAUAAGCCUCCUGCUCCUUAAUAUUUAUUUUGCUGCCCUUUGCAGCCUCCAACCACCUAAGGAUCCUUGGAUGAGAAACCUCAUCCGGGUAAUCCUUGAACUACUUUUGGAGGGGAGGAAUGACUUCACAUGCCCAAGCCUAAAAAAUGUAAACAGAAAGCAAGCAAAAUAAAAAGUCAUAAUAAGUAUAUUCAUCAUAAAUUAAUGAAUAAGUAAAAAUAGUGAUCAAUUUUACCAUGAAAGGCCAAGGAAAGCUGUAUAAUGUGAUUGUCCCUGUGGAUAGCUUUGUCAGUAAAUAUUGGAAAGUCAAGUAGUAGCUGUCAUAUCCCUAGGGAUAGUCAUUAAAUUUGUGAAAGUCAUCAACAAGUGCCAAAAAUUCAUCUUCUAUGACUUUCCUAACGUCUCUUGCCAAUAAAAUAAAAUGGACAAACCAAACUAAGCACAAUUUCUCCCUGCAUUGCUUUGGUAUGUCUUUAUCCUCGAGAUCUGCCAUCAAAUCCUCCGCUUUGUAUCUGCUACGUCCAACGAUGCCCAACAACCCAUCUUUUUUUCCCUUGUAUUUGUUGGACCCUUUGUGGGGUGUUUCCUUAAUAAGAGGUUCUUCUGGACGAUCGCAUUUCAAGCCCGUCACUAUGGCAAACUCUUUCAACCCAAAACAAACCGGCAUGCCACAGUAGUUGAUCCAGAUUUUAUCCAUCUUUUUUCGGCCUCCUUUGGAUCUUUAUCAUCCCCCGCAUACUUAAUUCUGCUGUUGAGAAGGUCAUAUACCAUGCUCAUUGGGAAACAAAGAGUCCAGUGCUAGGUAGCUUAAGAAAAUAUGCAAAACAGCUCUUGUUAAAAAGUUUGUCUAUGUUUUCAUUCUUCAUAAUUCUCCUUAAUUCAUCAAAACAUUUCCCCAACUGACAUUUAAGUACAAGAUCAUCAGUUACUUUGCCAGGGCUAUCCAUUGGCAUCGCAACUCAAAACCUGUCGAUACUAAUGGUUUUGACAGAAUCAUGCUGAGAUUUUGAUAUUAUUUCAUGCCCCAUUGGUGAGAAGGAGUUAUCACUUUCCUCGGCUUUAUUUUACCCCGACUGAGAUUGUUCAAAAAGUUUCUCCGAAUUUAUCUGUACUCUAGCCAUUUUUUUUGGGUGGUUAUAAGUUGAUCCACUUUUAGUUUCUUUUUUUUGGGAGACAUCUUUUAACUAAAAAAAAUAGAAAAACAAAAAAUACAUUGCAUUUGUUUUCUGCAUAAUUUAAAAAAAAAGGUAAGACGAAUUUUAAUAAAUUAUUCUACGCCAUAUUACAAAAAAAAAAUACUCCAAUGGAUAAUCAAUCAGUUGGAACAGAUGGGGAAUCUGUUUGAAGACCUAUUUAAUAUCUCCCAAUAGAUAUCCCACCUGUUGCGAUAGAUGGACCUCCAACACCACAACCAAUGCCACCACCAAUGCCACCAAUACCAAUACCAAUACUAAGCCACCAACACUACCACCAAAAAUACAAAUACCGACACCAAUAACAACACCCACCAUCAAUACCACAAACACCAUCCAACAAUACCAUAAUAGUUAAAAAAAACACUGAGACAAAAACUAGGGUUUUCUCAGGUGCUUCCUACUUUUUUAACGUCAAAACACAAAAUUGUUAACCCAUUCUCGAAGAAAAUACAACUAAAAGUAUUAUUUUUCAUCAUUAACUAAAAAUACCUAAUUUUUAGAAUAAAAAAAAUGUAGAACUCUUCUCAAACUCUGUUACCUAUGAAGACAGAGAAAAUGACAUAUACAAGCGAGAAUUGAGUCAAAAAUAACAACUAUGUGGUCAAAAAUGGGAAGAAAAUCAAUUUGUUUUGAAGGGUUGUGUAAUAUGUUGAGUAGUUGUUAUCUGUAUUGUUGAGAGAGAGAGGAAGGGGGAGCGAGAACUUGAGAUUUAAAAUGAGGAAUAGUUUUUCCCGCAAAUGGAUGAUUUCUAUGGGUUGAUUUAUAAUUUUGGAAAAGAAUGACAAGUUUUAAAAUUGUUAAUUUGGUUCGAAUUGAUCUUAAUUAAUUUUUAAAAUUUCAAAAGAUAUACUAGUUUUUAAAAAGUUAAUGAGAGUUUGUUUCAACUCAGAGUGAUCGAUCGAUGACCGGAGUCGGGAUGAACGCAAUACCAACACCAUGCAAUUGUGAUGACUCAAUUGAAGUUGUAGUUGACCCUAUGAGCUCAUUCAUUCAUCCCUAGUUCCACCUAAAUCAAUUUAGAUACUAUUAAUCCUAAGAUUAAGUUAAUGAUAUCCCAUUUCAACUCAGAGUGAUCGAUCGACGACCCGGGUUGGGAUGAAUGCAAUACCAACACCAAUUGCAAGGACUCAAUUGAAGUUGUAGUUGACCCUAUGAACUCAUUCAUUCAUCCCUAGUUCCACCUAAAUUAAUUUAAGUACUAUUAAUUUUAACAUUAAGUUAUUGAGAGCUCAUUUCAACUCUGAGUGAUCGAUCGAUGACCCGAGUUGGGAUGAAAGCAAUACCAACGUCAUACAAUUGCAAAGACUCAAUUGAAGUUGUUGUUGACCCUAUGAGCUUAUUCAUUCAUCCCUAGUUCCACCUAAAUCAAUUUAGGUAAUAUUAAUCCUAACAUUAAGUUAAUGAGAGAUCAUUUCAACUCAGAGUGAUCGAUCGACGAUCCGGGUUGGGAUGAACGCAAUACCAACACCAAUUUUAAAGACUCAAUUGAAGUUAUAGUUGACCCUAUGAAAUCAUUCAUUCAUCCCUAGUUUCACCUAAAUAAAUUUAGGUACCGUUAAUCUUAACAUUAAGUUAUUGAGAGCUUAUUUCCACUCAGAGUGAUCGAUCGACGAACCGGGUCGGGAUGAAUGCAAUACCAACACCAAUUGCAAAAACUUAAUUGAAGUUUUAGUUGGCCCUAUGAACUCAUUCAUUCAUCUCUAGUUCCACCUAAAUCAAUUUAGGUACUAUUAAUCUUAACAUUAAGUUAUUGAGAGCUCAUUUCAAAUCAGAGUGAUCGAUCGAUGACUCGGGUCGGGAUGAAUGCAAUACCAACACCAUACAAUUACAAUGACUCAAUUGAAGUUGUUGUUGACCCAAAAAAUUCAUUCAUUCAUCUCUAGUUCCACCUAAAUUAAUUGCAAUGAAAUCUGUUGGAACAAACGAUUGAGCUGGUGGAAAUUUUUAACAAAUAUUCACAUCUGUUGCAACAGAUGACAUAUCUUAUUUAAUUAUCAAAUAGAAAUUUGUAUCUGUUGUGACAGAUGACUGAACUAUUGAAAAUUUUCAAAUAGAUAUUGAUAUUUGUUGUAAUAGAUGAUAUAUCUGAUUUAAUUAUCAAAUGGACAUUUGCAUCUGUAGUCACAGAUGACUGAGUUGUUGGGAUAUUUAAAUAGAUAUUGAUAUCUAUUGUAACAGUUGACAUAUCUGAUUUAAUUAUCAAACAGCCUUAUCAAUUCGAACUCAUCAAACCUAACUGUACAAUGUAGGAUCUUGUUUGAAUGAUUAGUGCUUAAUCGGUUAAAAAUUGCAUUAACAAAAAUAUUGUACUUUGUGUGUGUUGUCUCGGUGGCCUUAUCAGUAAUACUUUUUAACUCCCACACAUAUGAUAGUGGAUCCAUCUGCAAGCACUUUAUUCUUCCUAGCCCAUCUAUGGCUUAAAUUGAAUAAAUAGAUGACUAGAAAGUUGCAACAGACGCCACAUCUGUUGGAAAAGCAAACUGAUAUAUCCAUCUGUUGCAACAGAUUGUCAAUAUAUUGUAAGUUAUCUGACAGAUGGAAUAUAUUUUACAAUAGAUUACCCAUCUGUUAGAUUUAUUUUAAAACAAUUUUCUUUUCUUUUUGAAAUACAAUAAAAAUAUAAAAUAUUUUAUUUAGAUCAUUUUUUUAAUUUACAUAUUUGAAAAGUCACCAGUUUUAUUUAAUUAAGGGAUAUGAACAUUCGUGGCUUUUUGUUUGACUAAGUCAUCCCUUCCAAUUCAAUCAUUUAUAAAUAGGUCCCUCCGGACUCCUUUUCUUACUCUCACUCGUUCAUUCUGUUACACUUACAAUACAAAUAUGGCUAAUCCAGAUUCGUACAAGAAUAUUCAUAUCAAGUCCUUGUGGGAACUUCAAAGGCAGUUUGAUGAACUCUAGAGGAAUUUUGCCGACUUCGGAGCAAGGCUGAGGAGGGUCUUGCUGUUGUCGGAUGAAAAUUGUCCGAUUGACAAUAAUAAUAGUAAUAAUAAUAAUAAUAAUAAUAGUAAUGAUAAUAAUAAUAGGAAUAAUAAUAAUAAUAAUAAUAGUAAUAAAAAUAAUAAUAAUAGUAAUGAUAAUAAUAAUAGUUGUAAUAAUAAUUAGGUUAUGUUUUUUUCUUUCUUUUAGCGUAUGUAUUUUCCUUUUUUAUAUCGGAUCUACCUAUAAGGGAUUCAAAAAUCUAUGUAUAUGUUUGGUUUGGUUUGGUCGACUUUAAAUUUUUAAUUCUUAUUUAAUAUUUAAUUAUCAUUCUAUUUAUUCCCUAUUCUCAACAUGUCGACGGUUGGAGGUAGGAUUGAGAACUUGUGGCAAGAGAGGGUGGUGAAAAGUGAUGAUUCUCUUAAAAAUGGUUCGUUAAUAAAUAAUAAGGAACUAAAUGAUAUACAUAAUUUAUAACUGUAAAAGAAAGAUUAUUUAAUUUAAAAAAAAAUAAUAAUAAUAGUAAUGAUAAUAAUAAUAGUUGUAAUAAUAAUUAGGUUAUGUUUUUUUCUUUCUUUUAGCGUAUGUAUUUUCCUUUUUUAUAUCGGAUCUACCUAUAAGGGAUUCAAAAAUCUAUGUAUAUGUUUGGUUUGGUUUGGUCGACUUUAAAUUUUUAAUUCUUAUUUAAUAUUUAAUUAUCAUUCUAUUUAUUCCCUAUUCUCAACAUGUCGACGGUUGGAGGUAGGAUUGAGAACUUGUGGCAAGAGAGGGUGGUGAAAAGUGAUGAUUCUCUUAAAAAUGGUUCGUUAAUAAAUAAUAAGGAACUAAAUGAUAUACAUAAUUUAUAACUGUAAAAGAAAGAUUAUUUAAUUUAAAAAAAGUCACAACAUUGGAUUAAUUAAGUUAUAUGAUGAUUGUUAAGAAAAAGGUGAAUAGUUCUGACUAUGACUUUUUGUCUAAACACAUUCAACAAACAAACAACGUUGCUGAUGCAUCAAAUUCCUCAUUUGUUGCGACUGAUGAAUCAGUUGUUAGAAGAAAUAAAAAAAGCUCCUAAAACAGAUAGUCAAUUUGUUGCAAUAGAUGGUAUAUUUGUUGUAACAGAUGAGUUAUCUGAUCCAACAGAUAUACAAUCUAUUGACAUAACUCAAUAAGAAAAUGGUUAUUAUUUUAUUAAAGAAACUGUUAUUGAAAACCAGGUGUCUUUAAUUUUUAAAUUAAGAAAAAGGUUAUUUAAAUUUAAGAACUAAUUAAUAAUAAUAAGCUGAAAAGUCAUUACUUGUCACAAUAAUAAAAAACUCACCAGCUUGAUUUAAGUAAGUCAUUUCUUUUCACAGAAAACAAUAAAGAAAUAAAUGAUAAACACAAUUUAAAUCGUAAAAAGCUCACCAAAAAUAUUUUUGUUUUUAAAUCCAUUUUAUUAAUUUAUAUAAUAAAAAAGUCAGCAAAUUUAGAUUAAUGAUAUGAUGAUAAUUUUUUUUAAAAAGAUAGAUUAUAUGUUGCAACAGAUAGAUUAUCUGAUGCAACAGGUUACCUAUUAUUGCAACGGAUGAUAUAUCUGUUAUCACAAAUAAGUUAUCUCAUGCAACAAAUAUAGAAUCUGUUGUCACAACUUCAAUAUAAAAACAGCUCCUAGAAAGAACUAAUUAUUAAUAAUAAUAAGCUGAAAAGUUAUGACUUAUCAUAAUAUUAUUUAAUUUAAUUAAGUCAUAACUUUUUACAGUAAUCAAGAAUGUCAUUAAUAAAUGGAGUUGAAUAGUUGCGCCUUUAAAUCUGUUUUAUUAAUUUAUAUAAUUAAAAAGUCAGAAAAUUUGGAUGUCAUGAUGAUAAUUUAUAAAAAAGAUAUAUAAAUUAUAUGUUGCAACAGAUAGAUUAUCUGAUGCAACAAGUUAUCUAUUUAUUGCAACAGAUGAUAUAUCUAUUGUCACAGAUGAGUUAUCUAUGCAACAGAUAUAUAAUCUGUUGUCACAACUCAAUAUAAAAAUGGUUUCUGAAAAGAACUAAUUAUUAAUAAUAAUAAGCUGAAAAGUCAUAACUUAUCACAAUAUUGCUUACUUUAAUUAAGUCAUAACUUUUCACAGUAAGCAAGAAAUGUCAUUAAUAAAUGGAGGUGAACAGUUGUGACUUUUUGCCUAAUAGAUUCAAGUCCAAUCCUCUAUAAAUAGGUCCCUCCUUACUCAAUCAUUCAUUCUACUACACUCUAUUUAUUUCUUGCUUUUGUUACACCUUCAAUUACUUUCUCUUCAAGGACUUAAUAGCUUUUUCCUGUCUCUGGUAAGUUUUUUUCUUGAUUUUUGUGUAAAUAUACAUUGUAUUACAUUCAAAUUCUUUCUUUUCUUUACUUUUAUUUUUACGCGUGUGUUUUGUCAACUUAUGCAUUUUCUAGAUAUGGUUGAUCCAGUGUGGGAUGUCUCUAUUUUAUAAGACGUCAUGCGGGAACUGCAGAAGGAGGUUUGUGACUUGCAGUGAGAGUUGGCCAACGUCAGACUAAGGAUGUUGCAGGAGAUCCGCAGGCUGAGG
RNAcentral lists this long non-coding RNA (20661 nucleotides) under Capsicum annuum. RNAcentral's name for it is "long non-coding RNA (CANN_LNC016538)". The record is from RNAcentral. Lineage: Eukaryota; Viridiplantae; Streptophyta; Magnoliopsida; Solanales; Solanaceae.